AGGCUCGACUUGCAGUUAAUUUUCAUAAAUCUUCAUGUUUAUAAUCAGUGGCGCAUAAUAGUUUUAUUAAAACCUUUUAAGUUAAACUUAUUUAAAUUUAACCAGUAGACAUUAUUUUGUUAUCAAGAGACAAAUAUUUUUCUUGUAUCUUACUUUCCUAUUUGCAUUUCUUGCAAAAAAAUUUUUUAUUAAUUUUACGAGCAGCCUGAAAUUUGUACCUCGUGUUUUCAAUUUCCCUGAUUGCCGGAUUCUCUUGGUCCUGACGUUGAAUUGGCUUUGGAGCGAAAAUACAACAAUAACAAUUUCCACAACAAAUACUCCUCCAUCCGGCUGGUCCCCAUAGAAAAAGCGACCACCACCCAUAUAAAAAAACGAAGAACAAGACAAUAAUAACAAAAAGAAAAUUUAAAAACUAUGGAGGAGGCUUUUCCGACUAAACUGGGCCAUACAAUACUAGACCAAAAAAAAUUAUAUUAAUUUCUUACAACUUAUAAUAACACAACUAAUAUUAAGAAAUGUUAACUUAGCAAUGUUUGUAUGGAUUCAUUAAGAAUCUCUAAUAAAAAAAUUAACAAAAAUUUCAAUUACUUGUAACGAUUUGA
Long non-coding RNA from Pieris brassicae (large cabbage white), 602 nucleotides. RefSeq lists it as uncharacterized. Lineage: Eukaryota; Metazoa; Arthropoda; Insecta; Lepidoptera; Pieridae. The transcript is spliced from 2 exons. The record is from RefSeq and is a predicted model, not a curated record.